UGACCUCAAUCUACUACUACAAAAGUUCGUCAUAGCAACUCCUUUGAACCACAUAACCAAAUUUCAUUAAACUUAGAUGUGCAUAUCGACAGGAAAUAGAGAUGACUUUUUUUCUCCGAGUUGUGCCCCUUUGUACUUACUGGCUAAAUCUACCACUGCAACAUCUUUGAAACCACACAACAGAAUUUCGAGAAACUUUGUAGACAAUAAGGACAUACUAUAUAGGUUUUCUAGGAGUUUUGUGUGCACCUUUCAACUUAUUGGCAUCAUUCCACUACUGCAACAACUCGUCAUUACAACCAUGCAACAGAAUUUCAUGAAACUUUCUAGUUAUCAGGGACAUAGGUUAAUAUGCAUAUCCACAAGAAUUUUUUUAUCAGUUGACUUUUAUAGAGUUGUGAGUUUUUGAACUUGGGAAUCUUGUCAGAUUUUGUUUGCCCAGUGACAGUGUGGGGGCAUGGGGUAUGUGAGUGUUCACAAAGGAACUUUAUUCCUCAUAUAAAAG
RNAcentral lists this long non-coding RNA (505 nucleotides) under Mytilus galloprovincialis (Mediterranean mussel). The record is from RNAcentral. Lineage: Eukaryota; Metazoa; Mollusca; Bivalvia; Mytilida; Mytilidae.